UUUCCUGUGGCUCAGUUGGUAGAGCAUUGUGCUAAAAACCUAAAGUUUGUGGGUUCAAAUCUCAGGGAAAA
This 71-nucleotide transfer RNA is filed under the name Danionella cerebrum. RNAcentral describes it as "tRNA-Phe". It matches the Rfam family "tRNA". From Rfam's summary of the family: Transfer RNA (tRNA) molecules are approximately 80 nucleotides in length. Their secondary structure includes four short double-helical elements and three loops (D, anti-codon, and T loops). The record is from RNAcentral. Lineage: Eukaryota; Metazoa; Chordata; Actinopteri; Cypriniformes; Danionidae.